Vigna unguiculata (cowpea) is the source of this 355-nucleotide long non-coding RNA. RefSeq lists it as uncharacterized. The record is from RefSeq and is a predicted model, not a curated record. NCBI's taxonomy places the organism in Eukaryota, Viridiplantae, Streptophyta, Magnoliopsida, Fabales, Fabaceae.
UUUCUCUCCCCUUCCUCAAAUUCUAGAGCAGCAGCUUUGCUAGGGCACAAGUUUUUGUCUCCUCAAGUUAGCGAAUCUUCUUUGUUUGGAGUUGCCUGAACUCGUAUCUCCAACUCCUUAAUCUGUUUCUGGAGUUGUGAUGCUCUCUUUGGGGUCCUGUUUCGUUUGGCUAAGCUUGAGUAAGAUGUGGAAACCCCUGGAGGUACUCAGGGUGGUGGAGAUGCUGCUGUGUAGAGUGGUCCCCAUGGUUUGGGUUGUGGCUUACAUUUGAGACUUUUGAAGAACUCUUAGUUUGUUUUAAAUUCCUUGCUCUCUAAACAAUACUUUUGCAAAACAAUAGUACUCUUGUGUUAUG